UUUUUUUUUUUUUUUUUUUUUUUUUUGUUCAGUGAUUUCUAACAAAACCUAAGGUUGUCCUAAAUUUUACAGCUGAAUAUGAUUUGGGAUCUCUUGAAGUUAAAGAGGUCUCAAAGACAUUGUCUUCUGGCCUCUUAACUCAAGUCCUCACAUGAAAAAAGUACCUCAGAAGGGUUCACCCUUUUAUCAGUUCAGGGUUGCUUACGGUGGCUUAAACACGUAAGGGUUUAUUGAUUCUCUUGUAUAAAAGAAAUUCAGGAAUCUGCAGUCCAGACACGUGUGGUGACAUCAUGGGCGUCAGAGGCCUAGGAUUUUCCUUUCUUCACCACCGAUAUGGCCUGCAACAGAGCUGGAACUCCAGCCAUCACAUCCACCUCGCAAGCUGCAAGAAAAGGGGAACAACAAAAGUAUAUUCCAACUGUGUUUCCCUCCUAAGGAGCAAUUCUAGAAGUCCUGAAAGAGGACUUCGUUGGCCUCCAUUUUGACCUCAAACUUUCUAGUGGGGUUCUUUCCAGCUUUUCCCUUGGCUCAGGUGGAAGAGCCUGAAGGCAAAGCAUCCCCUGAUGAGAAUCAGAACUACCCCCUGAAGCAAUAAGGACUGCCCUGAGCCAGCAAGUCACCACCCAUGAUAGACUCUUAAGACUAUGAUGGAUUUAAACCUUCCUUCACUGCCCACCAGCACUUACCCACCCACCUUUGCCCCACAUUUCCCUUAUACAUACCUGGAAGUAUUUUCAACCUUUUGGAGAUGGUCUUUGAACCCCUACUCCUCUGUCUUCCCAGUGUUGGCCUCACUGAAAUAAACUUUCUUCUUUCACCACCACUCAUCUCUCUGCCUUUGGACUUUGUCAGCGGCAAGUGGUUGAACUUGGUCUGUUUGGGAAUCUCAGAGGCAGGUGCUCUUGCACCCCUGUGUCCUGGCUACAAUCAUAUUGAGCAAUUACAUGGAUGCAGCUAGUUGCAGUGAAGGCUUGAAAGUUGUGUUUACUUAAGUUACAGAAAAUGUAGUUUACUUAAUUCUUUCCUUCAGAGCAGAGCUGUUGAAAAGAGCUUUGAUAAUGGAAAUGUUCAGUAUGUGCUCUAAUACAGUAGCCACUAGGCCCCAAGUAGUUAGUAUCUGAAAUGUGGCUAGUGUGGCAAUGGAAUUAUUUACUUCUAUUUAAUUAAUUUAAAUAUCCUUGGCUAGUAACUUUUAUUGGACAGCAGAGCCCUAUGAUAUAAACUCUAUGAGUAGGGGUCUUUGUUAAUUGCUGUACCUCAGGAGUCAGAACAGGGCUUGACCCAAUAAUUGUUGAUAAAUGAAUGGAUGAAAUAAAGUUUCAUUUCUCUUAAUUAAGUCAAAUCCCAUCUCAGUUAAUAGGAUUCAGCAUAAAUCCAAGACCUAGUAUAACAGUGCUUUUCAGAGAACUGGGAAACAACUUGGUGAAUAGUGAUCAACUUAAUUAAAAAUGACAAUGAGAAGAAGAUAGAAUCACGUGUAGUAAAGGUGAAUAUUGUUUCAUGAAACUUAGGUUUUAGAUUUACACAUGUAUAUGAGUACUGGAUCUGAACAUAAGACAUAUUUCUUCAUGUGGAUCUAGGUCAAAAAGUUUUGAAAGCCAUUGAUUUAGGCAACUUUUCAAAUAUAUUUCUUGGCAGCUUCAACUGGUCAAUGUCAGUGGAUGAUUUUUUUUUUUUUUUUUUUUUUUUAAGGUGCCCCAAGAUUUGGUCAGCAUCUACUUUUUGACUCUGUGGCCUUUGGACAAGGCUCAUGUUUUUGUCACAAAGUCUCGUGUUAAUGUUCUAUGACCUUGCUCAACAGUACCAAGGCCUGUCUGGGAGUUCCAGGCCAGUUGCAGGCAAUAUCUAGGUCUAGCUGAGAAGACAGGUUCUUAGUGAAAGGAAGCAACGUAAUUAAUAAUAACUUCUUUUAGUGUCUUUGAUGAAUGUAAAAUGAUCGUUAGAAUCUAAGAUAUUCUUAGAUAUUUGAAUAUUUCUUUUAACUUUGAAACAUAGGACUUAAAUUAUCUGGCUUAAAAAAUCACAAUACAUGUAAUAAAGCAUUUAUAAACCAUAGAGAAAAACUACAGAUAACUAGUCUUGAUGUUAAUAUUCCCCCAUCAAUGUUCAUAAACUUUUUACAGAGUAAGGUAGAGGAAGGGGGUGCCUGGCUGGCUCAGUCAGUAAGGUGUACAACUCUUACAACUAUUGAUUUCGGGUCAUGAGUUCAAGCCCCACAUUGAGUAUAGAGCUUACUAUAAAUACAUACAUACAUACAUACAUACACACAUAUAAAUAGAUAAUAAAUGUAUUUUUUUAAAAAACCACAUCAGGAGAGACUCUUCAUCAGAUGACUUUUAAGCAUAGGUUACUGUUUGUUUUAAGCCUGCUUUAAUCUAUGAAUAAGCCAACUUGAAGAUUUCUUGGUUGGGGCUACUUGUAAUCAUUUUUAGACUAGAUUUUAUUUAUUCAUGAGAGAUACGGAGAGAGAGGCAAAGACACAGGCAGAGGGAGAAGCAGGCUCCCUGCAGGGAGCUGGAUGUGGGACUCCAUCCCAGGACCCCGGGAUCACGCCCUGAGCCAAAGUAGACACUCCACCAUUGAGUCACCCAGGUGCCCCUAGGCUGGAUUUUAAAAAACGAGUGGAGGGACACUUGGGUGGCUCAGUGGUGAAGCAUCUGCCUAUAGCUCAGGGCAUGAUCCUAGACUCCCAGGAUUGAGUCCCCCAUUGGGCUCCAUGCUUCUUCCUCCCCCUGUGUUUCUGCCUGUCUCUCUGUGUGUCUCUCAUGAAUAAAUAAAAUCUUAAAAAAUAAAAAUGAGUGGAAGACUAUUAGACUAAGCAGUCAGAUGGAUGGGCAACUCCAGCUUUCCAGUUCUUAAUCUCAGAUAAUUGUUCAAGUAUUUUUUCAUUUAUUAUGAAUAUUUUCCCAUAUCAUUAACCAUUCAUCUAGAAUGUCAUUUAAAAUGAUUAUAAAUAUUCCCUGACUGGCUUAGCAUGUAUAAGCAUGCAACUCUUGAUCUCAGGGUCAUAAGUGCAAGCCCCACAUUGGGCAUGGAACCUACUUUAAAAAAAAAAUCAUAAAUAUUCCAGUUGAUGAAUGUUGGAAUUUAUCUUUAAAUCAUAAAUCCAAAACACUGGAAAACACAGAGACACACAUUUUAAAAAUGUUUAGGUACCCACCAACCACAAUAAAUAACUGCUAACAUUUUUCAUAUUUGCUUCAAGUUUUGCUUUUUUUUUUUUUUUCAAUGAAUGAAAAAAUGUGACCGAUCACAUU
This 3257-nucleotide long non-coding RNA is filed under the name Canis lupus familiaris (dog). Its description in RNAcentral is "lncRNA (ENSCAFG00000050229.1)". Lineage: Eukaryota; Metazoa; Chordata; Mammalia; Carnivora; Canidae. The record is from RNAcentral.